Callithrix jacchus (white-tufted-ear marmoset) is the source of this 128-nucleotide non-coding RNA. The record is from Rfam. NCBI's taxonomy places the organism in Eukaryota, Metazoa, Chordata, Mammalia, Primates, Cebidae.
GUCUACGGCCGUACCACCCUGAACGCGCCCGAUCUCGUCUGAUCUUGGAAGCUAAGCAGGGUCGGGCCUGGAUAGUACUUGGAUGGGAGAAAAGUCUUCCCUGGAUUCAGAGAUCUAAAUGCUGGUCC